RNAcentral lists this ribosomal RNA (447 nucleotides) under uncultured bacterium. RNAcentral describes it as "partial 16S ribosomal RNA". It matches the Rfam family "Bacterial small subunit ribosomal RNA", at positions 29 to 523 of the family's 1533-position model. The record is from RNAcentral.
AACGAACGCUGGCGGCAGGCUUAACACAUGCAAGUCGAACGCCCCGCAAGGGGAGUGGCAGACGGGUGAGUAACGCGUGGGAAUCUACCGUACCCUACGGAAUAACGCAUGGAAACGUGUGCUAAUACCGUAUACGCCCUACGGGGGAAAGAUUUAGCGGGGUAUGAUGAGCCCGCGUUGGAUUAGCUAGUUGGUGGGGUAAAGGCCGACCAAGGCGACGAUCCAUAGCUGGUCUGAGAGGAUGAUCAGCCACAUUGGGACUGAGACACGGCCCAAACUCCUACGGGAGGCAGCAGUGGGGAAUAUUGGACAAUGGGCGCAAGCCUGAUCCAGCCAUGCCGCGUGAGUGAUGAAGGUCUUAGGAUUGUAAAGCUCUUUCACCGGAGAAGAUAAUGACGGUAUCCGGAGAAGAAGCCCCGGCUAACUUCGUGCCAGCCGCCGCGGUAA